GUGCUUGCUUUGGAAGCACAUAUAUUAAAAUUGGAAUAAUACAGAGAAGAUUAGCAUGGCCCCUGUGCAAGGAUGACAUGCAAAUUCGUGAAGCGUUCCAUAUUUUU
Molecule: small nuclear RNA, 107 nt
Organism: Myotis daubentonii (Daubenton's bat)
Lineage: Eukaryota; Metazoa; Chordata; Mammalia; Chiroptera; Vespertilionidae
Source: RefSeq, a predicted model, not a curated record